UAAGAGCUUGCUCUUAUGAAGUUAGCGGCGGACGGGUGAGUAACACGUGGGUAACCUGCCCAUAAGACUGGGAUAACUCCGGGAAACCGGGGCUAAUACCGGAUAACAUUUUGAACUGCAUGGUUCGAAAUUGAAAGGCGGCUUCGGCUGUCACUUAUGGAUGGACCCGCGUCGCAUUAGCUAGUUGGUGAGGUAACGGCUCACCAAGGCAACGAUGCGUAGCCGACCUGAGAGGGUGAUCGGCCACACUGGGACUGAGACACGGCCCAGACUCCUACGGGAGGCAGCAGUAGGGAAUCUUCCGCAAUGGACGAAAGUCUGACGGAGCAACGCCGCGUGAGUGAUGAAGGCUUUCGGGUCGUAAAACUCUGUUGUUAGGGAAGAACAAGUGCUAGUUGAAUAAGCUGGCACCUUGACGGUACCUAACCAGAAAGCCACGGCUAACUACGUGCCAGCAGCCGCGGUAAUACGUAGGUGGCAAGCGUUAUCCGGAAUUAUUGGGCGUAAAGCGCGCGCAGGUGGUUUCUUAAGUCUGAUGUGAAAGCCCACGGCUCAACCGUGGAGGGUCAUUGGAAACUGGGAAGACUUGAGUGCAGAAGAGGAAAAGUGGUAAUUCCAUGUGUAGCGGUGAAAUGCGUAGAGAUAUGGAGGAAC
This 654-nucleotide ribosomal RNA is filed under the name Bacillus cereus. Its description in RNAcentral is "bacterial SSU rRNA". It matches the Rfam family "Bacterial small subunit ribosomal RNA", at positions 73 to 707 of the family's 1533-position model. Lineage: Bacteria; Bacillati; Bacillota; Bacilli; Caryophanales; Bacillaceae. The record is from RNAcentral.